GGCACAAUGCAGUGCGUAUAUAAAAAUGUCACCUUACCUCUAGGUCACUCAUACACUGAUUAUACCGGCUGUAUAGAGCACAGCUGUAGUUCGGAUGGAAGUAUGACUAUAUGUGGGAUUGGUAUAUAUGCAGGAGUGAUUCUUCCGCCAGAUGGAUGUGCCAUUCUAAGAGGAGAAAAAUGUGCUUUUGAGUUUGUAUCUUCCAGAGAUCAAUCAAUCAAAUGCGAAGCAGAGAUAUUUGGAUAAACAUAUUUACAUAUCUAUGAAAAAAGAAUAAAAUAUUUAAGAAAAAAUGCAAAAACACUUCCUACAUUAAGUGAUUUUAUGUAAAAAAAAACCUAUGUAUUGGCGGACAUAAUCUUGUAAAUAGUUUAAUACAAUAAAUUUAUCUUUGGUCGAAA
Molecule: long non-coding RNA, 401 nt
Organism: Mytilus trossulus (common blue mussel)
Lineage: Eukaryota; Metazoa; Mollusca; Bivalvia; Mytilida; Mytilidae
Exons: 2
Source: RefSeq, a predicted model, not a curated record